This 1733-nucleotide unclassified non-coding RNA is filed under the name Daphnia magna. RNAcentral describes it as "geminin-like, transcript variant X1". Lineage: Eukaryota; Metazoa; Arthropoda; Branchiopoda; Diplostraca; Daphniidae. The record is from RNAcentral.
ACUUAAAAACCAAAUAAAAAAAAACAAAAACAAUAAACAUAUUUGUUUGUUUGACUAUGUUUAGAGUGCCUCCACUGCGGGAAUACCGUCACGGAUACGGGUCUUCUGAUGAAGGCCACAAAAAGCACUGGCGAUGAAACAAAAAACAUAACUUUUUGACAGCUGUAAGUGUCCAUUCUGUCAGCUGACGAUAGGCGUCGUCUGGACGAUAAGUGUCUCUCCCUAUUGGCCAAAAGUGACGGCGCAGCUUUGCCAUAGGCUUCGUCUAGGCGUGCGCGACCAUGUUGACAUUGGCGUAUUUAUCGUCUGCACGUUAAGACGCCGUCUCAGAGACCUUGUUGAAAAAAUUAGAUAGUCGCCAACACUAAUAGUCGCCAACACUACUAUGUACUAUUUUUAACUCAUAGUAGAAGUUGAGUAGUUGAGUGAACACCAUGGCCGACCGAAAGGAAGCCACGGCGAAUGAACGAAACCCAAUUUUGGCACGCAGACUCCCAAGCAGAUUUCGCGUGGGAGGACCCUUAUUUCUAACGAUCGAUCAGAUUGAACUCCAGUCUCCAUGUCCAAGCAUCAAAGUUAGUUGGCAUUUAAAGAGAAUCAAAACAGAAAACUCAAGGCAAGAUCCAGGUCUUUGAAGACAAGACAAGCAAUACUGCACAAAAGAAGAUCACGAUGGAGGACCGUGGAGUCCAAACUGAUCCUGUAGUAAUGGAAGGGUCUACCACCAGUGCUGAGAAUGACGUUGAAUAUUACAGUACCAAGGCCGAAACAAGAAGAGUUGCCCUUGCCGAAGCAUUAGAGGAAAAUGAGAAACUGCAUCUUGAACGGGAUACCCUCAUAAGUGAGGUAAAUACCCUCAAAAGUGAGGUAAAUACCCUUAAAACUGAAAACAGUAUGCUCAAACCUCUAGCUGAUGAAGCUGAAUAUCUGGCUGGUGUUUUAGAGGGCCUUUUGGGCAGUCCAGAGGAUGAGGAACCAAAUGAAGGUGCUGAAAAUGCAAGCACAAGUGAUAGUUGACGCUUAUCGACCUGAAGUCAUUUCAAAAUUGCCACGCACCUCACAUUUAACUUUAUAGACCUUUUUAAGAUUCCUCGGUGUAAGCAGAGCGAAAAGUCGUGCGGCUAGUCGACUAGUGCGCACCAUGGCGGGGGAUAGCCGUAACUAGCUGCAGACUUGGCUUGAUUCUUCGAAUCACCUUGUUGUUCGGCUCUAUGUUACUGUAGUCUGCCUUACUUUAAGGGAUGAAAACUAUGAGAAUUACAAUAAUAACUACCUGAGACAAAGUGAUGUGAACACACAAAAUAGUUGCAACUUCUUCCAUAAAUCAACGCAAUAGGUUUGACAUACAACACAGAGUGCCAGACUACAGUAACAUAGAGCCGAACAACAAGGUGAUUCGGAGAAUCAAGCCAAGUCUGCAGCUAGUUACGGCUAUCCCCCGCCAUGGUGCGCACUAGUCGACUAGCCGCACGACUUUUCGCUCUGCUUACACCGAGGAAUCUUAAAAAGGUCUAUAGGCCUUUUGGGCAGUCCAGAGGAUGAGGAACCAUAUAUCCGCUUGUGUGAGAUGUGAAUCUAAGGAGUAUGGCGCUAAAGUAUUCCCGCACAUUUCAAGACCCUUCACGUGGUCUUCGCUGUCCUCGUGGACACUACCAGUAGAUUACUGACUACAUUGUUUUUUUUUUAUUUUUUUUAUUUUAGGACCAUGUAUGGAAUAAACAUUUAAAGUCUGA